This 73-nucleotide transfer RNA is filed under the name Candidatus Altarchaeales archaeon. Its description in RNAcentral is "Candidatus Altiarchaeales archaeon tRNA-Glu". It matches the Rfam family "tRNA". From Rfam's summary of the family: Transfer RNA (tRNA) molecules are approximately 80 nucleotides in length. RNAcentral also lists the same sequence under 1 other name. The record is from RNAcentral. Lineage: Archaea; Nanobdellati; Candidatus Altarchaeota; Candidatus Altarchaeia; Candidatus Altarchaeales.
GGGCCCGUGGCCUAGUGGAAAAGGCGGCGAGUUUUCCAGCCGCAGAGCGUGGGUUCGAGUCCCACCGGGCCCA